Long non-coding RNA from Camelus dromedarius (Arabian camel), 3991 nucleotides. RefSeq lists it as uncharacterized. Lineage: Eukaryota; Metazoa; Chordata; Mammalia; Artiodactyla; Camelidae. The transcript has 2 exons. The record is from RefSeq and is a predicted model, not a curated record.
GGGGCUCUUCUGCGCCGCCCCGGUCACAGGCGCCGGGCGGAAGCGGGAAAGCUGGUGGUCCGCGAAGGGGCUCGUCUUGCGCAGCAUGCUGUGAGAGGGAGUCGAGGGGCGCUAAGGGCGCGAAGGGCAAGGUGGGGGAGAGCGGGCUAGAGUUAUGGUGGUUGGAGGGAGACAGCCACAGUCCUGCGGCGAGUUGGAGAGACUGGGUCGGGUGAAGGCCGAAGUUCUACCUCUCACCACUGGGUCCAGGGCCCUUGUAGCGGACGCAGCAGUGGACAGUUUUUGUUCUUAAGGGAAAGAAGAGCGAUGCCUAUAGAGUUCACGGGUGUAAAGGGAAGCUCUGGUCGCAGUCGUUGCAGGAAGGGCAAGUUGAUUGGGAAGGAAAUAGUAAAAUUUUCAUCCUAGUCCAAAAGUAGUCAAGAUGAAGAGCUGAGUUCAGAAGGUAUCUUGAGACUGUAGUCCACAAUUAUAGAAGGCUGCCCACCUUUAGACGUGACUUACUUUUCCUUACUUAGUUCAAAACAAAGUUUAUUGAUGACCUACUACCCAACAAGCACUGCAUAACCAGGCCGGGGUGAUGCUCAGUGACUAAUCAAUGCAGGCAACGCAUUCAUAGUACAGAUCUUUCCUUUUUGAGGCUUUUAUAAGGUCCAAAAUCAGCUCUUCCAAGAAAUAAAACAUUCGCGGCUUGCUAGCAAGGAAAGAGACUUACUACAAUUGAAUGAAGUAAGGUUAAGUAAAGACAAAGAAAAUUAAAACCUGUGAUUUAGAGAAGUGAUCAAAUGAUGCAGAGAGCAGUGCUGGGACAGUAGUCAAAUUGCUGAUUGAUAGCUAUUUAUUAAUGAAAAUGACAGCGUGGAGUACUGAACAGUUAUAAAUCCUUGCUCCUCAAAGCACUGAAAGUCUUAGAGAUAGAUGUAACCUGACCGAUAUUUUUGCCCCAACGCCUACCAGUGAUUUUCUGUUUCCACUCUAUAAAAGAGGACAGCUUUCUUCAUCUGGGAAAGAUAAAGAAUAAUUAGAGGAUUGAAGAGAGGAUUAAAGGGAGCAGAGGAUAGCAGAUGAAAUGGUCAAGCACUGCAUGUUUAUGAGAAGCGCAAAGAACUGUCAGCUGUUCAUCCUCAGGCUGUUUCUUUGAGGGACAGUGAAAGUAAGACUGUUCUUAUUUUGUAACAGUGAGGGGUUAGGUAUAGAGCACAAAAAAAAAAAAAACAGUUCAUCUACAUCCAUCAAGUGCUUUAUCUGGAAAAGGAAUCGUACACCUGAAGCAAGAUCACUCUUCUGAGGCUAGUUUGGCUAUAGUAUGAUUAUUAGCAAUAAUAAUAUUUAUUGAGUACUCUGUGCGUAUGAUAAGGAAAGGAAACUUUAAGGAAGGGAGAAGGUCCAGCUGCAAGGCUGUAUUAUAAAUCACCGUGUGAUCUGACUUCAUGUGUACUUAUUCAGCUCUGCAUUGGCCUUGAGAACAAUUUCCCUUACACUGUAAAUGUCCCUUAGACCUUUACACUGUCCAGUGUCUCUUACUGUCCAGUAAGAGAGCCACAUUUGACUACUUAAUUUGGUUAAAAUGAAAUAAAAAUUUUAAUUCCAUUUCUUUAUUGCACUGCCCACAUUUCAAGUGUUCAGUAGUCACAUGUUGCUACCGCAUAAGACAGCACAUAUACCGAACAUUUUCAUCAUUAAAGUUCUAUUGAACUUUGGUAGGCCUGGUAAAAAUUCAAGGGUGAAGAGAGUUGAUAAAUUAUGAAGAACAGCCCUUGUUAAAAGGUAGCAGUGGAAACUUAUUCCUGAAGACCAGAGGACAGAUGAAUUGUGACAGGGUGUUACAAAAUAGGUUUUUUUUAAGUUAAAAAAAAAAAAGUGAUAAGCCUCUCCCCAGUGUUGGUGUGUGUUUUUUCUUGGCUCUCAGUUGGUCCCAGUCUCUCCAUUUAUCUCUGUCCAGGUCUCUUUCCUUGUUCUUUUUGUUUUUCCACUUCUUUUCCUCACUUCAUUAUUGGCCAUACUGGAACUGAAGUGGAGUUUAAAAUAUUCACAUCAUUGGACUUAUUGAAUAAAGUUUUGUUUUAUCCACUUCUUAAAUUUUAAAUCAGCCAAGUUUCACUUUUUACUGUGACUUUUAAAAAUAAUCACUGAUAGCCAAAUUAAGUUCCUUUUAACCUCUUCUGUGACCCUUUGUUGUUUUUUUUUCCCCUGUGGGUCAAUGAAAGAAAAAAAAAGUACUGAAAGGAAAAAAAAUACUCCCUAGUUCUGAGAGUAGAGUCUCUGUAAAGUGACUAAACUAGGUCUUUCCACGUGGCCUGCUGACAUUUGUGUUGUAGUAUUAACGUUUAUGAGAACACGGUGUUUGUGCUUCUGUUUCUGUAUGAAUUUGAAUUUACCUAAGAUAUUUAUCCAGCAGGUCACUGUCAUUCAUCCCCUUCAUUCUGGUAAGUAGUACUAUGCCCCUCCUUUCCUCACCCCGCCACUCCCCUCCCCACAUGAAAAGCAUGUGGAAGAAUAGGUACUUUGUCUGCAAAUCUGAUACAAAUAUCAGGAAGUCUACCCAAGAUUGCUAAUUUUAAAGUGAGCUCAAAAGAAAGCAUGGCAAAAUUAGGGUUAGCCCAACUUUAUUUUUAUCCUGUGAAUCAGAACACAGUACAACACUAUCUCCUCAAAAGCUUGAAUAAAAUGUUUGCAGACAGGUCUCCCAAAUUAGAAGCAACAGUGGUUUCAGUGCUAUUUCUGGGCUCCAUCCAAUGCAAGUGCAGAAUUUUUAAAAAGCUAACAUUUAUUGGGCUCUUUUUAUUUGUCAGGCAUCUGAUACACAAUGUCUUAUUUAUUGAGAAUCUUUCUAAAUGGAACUCAAUCAGAUCCUACUUAUUGUUUACUCUCACCCAGAUGAUGGAAGUGGCCAAGGGCAUAGCCCUGCACAUGAGCACUGAAAUAUACUUGGAUGGAAUGUGAGUGUUAGCAGAAUCACCUGGGCCUCGGUAGUGUGUUUGUUGAUUCUGCCAGCCAGCCAGUACCCACGGGGCAUCAGUCCUCUCUGGAUUAGUAACAUAUGUAAAUACCCAAAAGGUAUUUAAUUCUGGGACCAUAACUUUGUUUUAUACUUACUGUUUUCAUAACUUUUCCCAUACAGCUUCCAGUUGUUUUUUUUAAAGGGUCAGCUACUAGUGACUGCUUGCAACACAUUUUAUUCCUACCAAGUGUCUGCACAUGGUGGGGCAGUGGUGGCUGACAGUCCAGUUUUGACACCAAUAGGAAGAUAGGGGACUUCUGUUCCCAACCUCGUUAGAAAAAUGCCAGGAAAUGACUGUUUAGCACACCUUGAGUUACACACCCUUGACCAAAUCACUGAAGGCAGGAGUCAGGUACACACCUCCUGACUAGUUGUUGUGACCAAGGAGUCAAGGCCACACAUGAUGACACCUCCCUUGCUAAUUACACGUCUAGAAGACUAGAGGCAGAAGCAGAACCCAAGGAGGAGGGGCAGAAAGGAAGAAUCCUAGCAGACAAAAUAAACAUUCCUAUAUAUACAAGUGAGAAUCUGAGUUAGGCGGGAGAACAUUUCAAUGUUAAACAGUGAAUCUUGCUCCGUUUCCACAUGUGAUAAAUUGAGAGGUGAACAUGUGUAUUCUGAAAGAGCUUCCUGGGAGUUUAUGGUAGGUGUCAUAACUGGAGAGAAUCCCCUCUCUGUAAUGGUGUGUUAUUUUUACAACAAAAUGUAUGUGUGUGUGUGUGUGUGUCUAACUAAGCACUGUAAGCCCAACGGCAAUAAUAAUAGGGAAAUAAAUAGAAGCAGUGAUCCACCAAAUCAAAACAUUAUUUAUUUAAAUAAAUAAAAUAAGCUAAUGUGAAAUUUCGAGAGCUUUCAGUCAACUGGAGUAGUUUUGCAUGUUAAACUGUCCUAGUGUGGAUAUUUUUGUUUUGCCCUCCAAACUUCAUUUAUCACCAAAUCUACAAACAUUUGAAUCAUAUAAAUAGAUAAUGAAAUAAAUACUUAUUCACAUGA